Triticum aestivum (bread wheat) is the source of this 1240-nucleotide long non-coding RNA. RefSeq lists it as uncharacterized. The transcript has 4 exons. The record is from RefSeq and is a predicted model, not a curated record. Lineage: Eukaryota; Viridiplantae; Streptophyta; Magnoliopsida; Poales; Poaceae.
UCUCUCCCAGCCGCCUCUCUCCCUUCCUGCCACCACCGUCAGCGGCCGCCGGCCCCUCCAGCCGCCGUCGCCUCCUCCUCCUCCUACUCGUCCCCCACUUCUGAUCUACCGUCUCCCUCCUGACCUCGAGCGCUGCAGCAGAUUUCGGACGAGCUGGAGGAAGGUCGCAGUUCCCGUCGGCACCCUCUGCAGCGGGUCCAGUGGGGUGGGCUGCGCGCUGCUCAUAUCGGUGUCGGCGGCUGCGGCCAUCCCUGCCAUGGCGUCGACCUUCUCUUGCCUGGCGCUGCAGCUUGCUGGUUGGAUCGCGGCGUCGACGCAGCCGGCUCGGUGGGGACUCUGUAUCAUACAUCUCCGCCCAAUGUGCUCCCAGCCUCCGACCAUUGUUUAGGUGCGGGUCACCCAAACAUUGCUGCACCACAGGCCUCUGCCAUGUCUGCCAUGUGCUGAGUUCCCGUAUGGAUUGAACCUAAGUAUUCAUCCCGGGGAGCAGCCACCAUCUUCAUCUUGGUCUCCUACACUGGCAGUCUGGCACCCACCCGCAUGAGAAAACUUGAAGUUCAGAGUAAAUGCAGAGGAGGAAAGUAAAAACAAGGCGCCGACUACGGACAAACAAUUUUCUGAGGCUCAUAAGGAGGGUACAACCUUCGCUGAUUAUACAGCCUCCACCAAACAUGCAGAAACUAAGGCAAUAGUUCAGUUGAAUCGUGGUCUCUCAAUUGAUGAACUCAUGCAGAAAUGUGACUCACCUAAGCAGUGUGAUCGCAUAGUUGGCUUCGGUGGUGGAAUUAGAGAAAGAAAUUUGUGAGGAGCAACAUUAAGUAGGGCUUCUAGAUCUCGAGCUUCCGAGCAAGCGAAACAAGUACUUGAAGAAAAACUCAAUGGAGUGGUGCAAGAAGUGUCAGCAAUUAAACGUCUUAUGUAUGCUAGAUCUCAAAGUGAUAGUAUGUAGGAAAGCCCACAUGAUCAAGACUGGUGGUCCACCGUAAGAUAUGGAAGCAUCAGGAGGCAUUGUAUUCACCGAUGAAGAAUGAUAUCCAUUCAAAAAAUGAUGGUGUUCCUCGACUGAAGAUUAAUAAAUAUUAUCUUUUGUAGUUGUCCCCUUUUUCCAAACAGAUAUGAGCAAGUACAUUGGCCAUAUAAGGAGUGCCUUUGACUAAAAUAUCUUAAAUGAUAAAAAUUUAGGAAUUGUAUGUCAGAAUUCUGGUAUUUCUUUUAAUAGAAGAGGCUAUGAUUAUUUCAA